This 468-nucleotide ribosomal RNA is filed under the name uncultured bacterium. RNAcentral describes it as "partial 16S ribosomal RNA". It matches the Rfam family "Bacterial small subunit ribosomal RNA", at positions 28 to 507 of the family's 1533-position model. The record is from RNAcentral.
GACGAACGCUGGCGGCGUGCUUAACACAUGCAAGUCGAACGGAAAGGCCCUGCUUUUGUUGGGUGCUCGAUUGGCGAACGGGUGAGUAACACGUGAGUAACCUGCCCUUGACUUUGUGAUAACUUCAGGAAACUGGGGCUAAUAUCGGAUAUGAGCUCCUGCGGCAUGUUGGGGGUUGGAAAGUGUCGGCGGUUGGGGAUGGACUCGCGGCUUAUCAGCUUGUUGGUGGGGUAGUUGCUUACCAAGGCUUUGACGGGUAGCCGGCCUGAGAGCGUGACCGGGCACAAUGCGCCUGCGAGACGCAGCAGACGGCUACGGGCGGCAGUAGUCGGGAGUCUUACACAAUGGGGCGACGCCUGAUGAGGAGACGUCGCGUGCGGAAAGCCCGCCUUCGGGUUGUAAACAGCUUUCGCCUGUGACGAAGCGUGCGUGACGGUAAUGGGUAAAGAAGCACCGGCUAACUACGUG